GUCCACGCCGUAAACGUUGAUUACUAGUUUUGGCGAUAUACAGUCAGAGACUAAGCGAAAGUGAUAAGUAAUCCACCUGGGGAGUACGAUCGCAAGGUUGAAACUCAAAGGAAUUGACGGGGGCCCGCACAAGCGGUGGAGCAUGUGGUUUAAUUCGAUGAUACGCGAGGAACCUUACCAGGGCUUAAAUGUAGAAGGAAUGAUGUGGAAACAUGUCAGUCUUCGGACCGUCUACAAGGUGCUGCAUGGCUGUCGU
Molecule: ribosomal RNA, 256 nt
Filed under: uncultured bacterium
Lineage: Bacteria
Description: partial 16S ribosomal RNA
Rfam family: Bacterial small subunit ribosomal RNA
Source: RNAcentral